This 1013-nucleotide long non-coding RNA is filed under the name Ursus maritimus (polar bear). RNAcentral describes it as "lncRNA (ENSUMAG00000010128.1)". The record is from RNAcentral. Lineage: Eukaryota; Metazoa; Chordata; Mammalia; Carnivora; Ursidae.
CGGCGCUUCACUUUAUUGGGCUUUGCAGAUACCGUGCUCUUUACAGACGGAAGUUUCAAGACUCCAGUGCAGGAAGUAACUACAGAUGUGGUGGAAAUAGCCGGAGAGCUAGAAUGAGAAGUGGGCCUGAACUGCUGCGAUCUCGUGAUCAAACUGGAACAGAUGGGGAGAAGCUUCCUGACGAGCAAAGAACGUGGGUUCUCGAUGUGGACCGACUCCUGGGGACGGUGCUGUCAAGACUGUUGAACUGGCCUCAGAGGGUUUAGAAUAUGACAUAAAUGUAGUCCGUAAGGCAGCCGCAGGGUUCGAGAGGAUUGCCGCCAAUUUUGGAGGAAGUACAGCGCCCUCAGCGUGGCAUGCUACGGAGAAAUCGCUCGUGAGAGCAAGAGUCAGCUGAGCUGGUGAGCGCCCUCGCGGCCUUGUUUAGGAAACGGCCACAGCCACCCCAGGGUCAGCUGCCAUCGACAUCGCGGCGAGACCUUCCACCGGCGAGCAGACUCGGACUCACUGAUGACGGUUAGCAUCUUUUAGCCACGACGCAUUUUUAAUGAAGGUAUAUACCUUUUUUGAAAGACACGGUAGCAUUGCACAUCUCAUAGACUAGGGGACAGUGUAGAUACAACUUUCUACGCUCUGGGAAACCAAACAUUCGACUUGCUUUACUGCAGUGGUCUGGAACCGAACCGGCGGUAUCUCCGAGGUGUGCCUGUGGAGGCAGGGGAGGGGAGAGACUCCCCCGUCCACCUGCGACCGUUUCUUCACCUCCCACUUCACAUGACGAACCAGAGUGGCCUGACUAAAGGUCUUGAAGCUUGCUCGGAGGCCUGGCCCGGCUGGGAAGAAGUUGUCUGCUCAGUUAUAUUUAGGCUAGCAGAGACAUCAAUCCAAGGCUCUUUAAAAAUAAAGUCUUGUUUCAGCUGGAUCCCCGAGCGCGUCCCCACCCACUCCUAACGAGAAGCCGUUCGCCUCCUCCGGGUUCCAGUCUCCAUUUCAGACCCUUCACGUGGCCCACA